Molecule: ribosomal RNA, 139 nt
Filed under: Escherichia coli
Lineage: Bacteria; Pseudomonadati; Pseudomonadota; Gammaproteobacteria; Enterobacterales; Enterobacteriaceae
Description: partial 23S ribosomal RNA
Rfam family: Bacterial large subunit ribosomal RNA
Source: RNAcentral
GAAGCCCCCCUCAAGAUGAGAUUUCCCAUUUCUUCGGAAAGUAAGAUCCCUGAAAGAUGAUCAGGUAGAUAGGUUUGGAGUGGAAGUGUAGCGAUACAUGGAGCGGACAAAUACUAAUCGAUCGAGGACUUAACCAAAA